AAAUUGAAGAGUUUGAUCAUGGCUCAGAUUGAACGCUGGCGGCAGGCCUAACACAUGCAAGUCGAACGGUAACAGGAAGCAGCUUGCUGCUUCGCUGACGAGUGGCGGACGGGUGAGUAAUGUCUGGGAAGCUGCCUGAUGGAGGGGGAUAACUACUGGAAACGGUAGCUAAUACCGCAUAAUGUCGCAAGACCAAAGAGGGGGACCUUCGGGCCUCUUGCCAUCGGAUGUGCCCAGAUGGGAUUAGCUUGUUGGUGGGGUAACGGCUCACCAAGGCGACGAUCCCUAGCUGGUCUGAGAGGAUGACCAGCCACACUGGAACUGAG
This 326-nucleotide ribosomal RNA is filed under the name Escherichia coli. Its description in RNAcentral is "bacterial SSU rRNA". It matches the Rfam family "Bacterial small subunit ribosomal RNA", at positions 1 to 323 of the family's 1533-position model. Lineage: Bacteria; Pseudomonadati; Pseudomonadota; Gammaproteobacteria; Enterobacterales; Enterobacteriaceae. The record is from RNAcentral.